ACUCUUCUUCUAUUUUCUUUAACCUCCCCUUCACUUUUUAUUUUUAUGGGGGUGGGUGGUGCUUGCUAUAUGCUUACCUUUUUCUUUUCUUUUUUCAUUUUUACAAAUUUCCUUUUUUGUCCUCACCCCUCAAUUCCUAGGGGCUUGAGUGAGUUUAAGAUUGGGUUUUCUUGGAAAUCACCUGUCCAUCGUUAAUUUUAAACAAUCUCCAUAUCUCCAAAGAAUCUCUUCCAUGUUAGUCUGGAAUGUGGUUAAUGAAAAACAAGUAGGGAGGAUUUCUGGGGCAAACACUGCCGGAUCAGGAUCGUAGUUCUCAGGCACGGAAUGGCUAGUGUGAGAAACACCAACGGCAGGCCCAUCUCAGAUCUUCACUAUGGCAACUUAUGCAAGAAACUGUUGAAUUAGACCCGUUUCCUAUAGAUGAGAAACCAUACAAGCUGUGAAUGUCAAGAUGUUGUCAUGAAGAGAGAGAGAGAGAGAGAGAGACUCUCAGUCUUUGCUACCAGUGUCUGAACUUAUCGGUACAUAGUUAUCUUGCCAGUAGCCCCACAUUCCAGGUGGUGGAAAAGCAAAUAUGCGAAUCAAGUUCCAGAAAUAAUCAAUCUUGAUGAUCCCAUUGCUUUUAAGAGAGACAUGCAAGGAAUGCUCUACAAAUAUAGCACAUGGAAUGUGGAAGCUGCUCUAUAAAUAAUAAAUAUUUUGUAUUGUUCUACAA
Molecule: small RNA, 715 nt
Filed under: Pan troglodytes (chimpanzee)
Lineage: Eukaryota; Metazoa; Chordata; Mammalia; Primates; Hominidae
Description: processed transcript
Source: RNAcentral